Molecule: ribosomal RNA, 2758 nt
Filed under: Klebsiella pneumoniae
Lineage: Bacteria; Pseudomonadati; Pseudomonadota; Gammaproteobacteria; Enterobacterales; Enterobacteriaceae
Description: bacterial LSU rRNA
Rfam family: Bacterial large subunit ribosomal RNA
Source: RNAcentral
CACUAUCGUUAACUGAAUACAUAGGUUAACGAGGCGAACCGGGGGAACUGAAACAUCUAAGUACCCCGAGGAAAAGAAAUCAACCGAGAUUCCCCCAGUAGCGGCGAGCGAACGGGGAGCAGCCCAGAGUCUGAAUCAGCUUGUGUGUUAGUGGAACGGUCUGGAAAGUCCGACGGUACAGGGUGAUAGUCCCGUACACCAAAAUGCACAGGCUGUGAACUCGAAGAGUAGGGCGGGACACGUGGUAUCCUGUCUGAAUAUGGGGGGACCAUCCUCCAAGGCUAAAUACUCCUGACUGACCGAUAGUGAACCAGUACCGUGAGGGAAAGGCGAAAAGAACCCCGGCGAGGGGAGUGAAAAAGAACCUGAAACCGUGUACGUACAAGCAGUGGGAGCACCUUCGGGUGUGACUGCGUACCUUUUGUAUAAUGGGUCAGCGACUUAUAUUCUGUAGCAAGGUUAACCGUAUAGGGGAGCCGCAGGGAAACCGAGUCUUAACUGGGCGUUAAGUUGCAGGGUAUAGACCCGAAACCCGGUGAUCUAGCCAUGGGCAGGUUGAAGGUUGGGUAACACUAACUGGAGGACCGAACCGACUAAUGUUGAAAAAUUAGCGGAUGACUUGUGGCUGGGGGUGAAAGGCCAAUCAAACCGGGAGAUAGCUGGUUCUCCCCGAAAGCUAUUUAGGUAGCGCCUCGUGAACUCAUCUUCGGGGGUAGAGCACUGUUUCGGCUAGGGGGUCAUCCCGACUUACCAACCCGAUGCAAACUACGAAUACCGAAGAAUGUUAUCACGGGAGACACACGGCGGGUGCUAACGUCCGUCGUGAAGAGGGAAACAACCCAGACCGCCAGCUAAGGUCCCAAAGUCAUGGUUAAGUGGGAAACGAUGUGGGAAGGCACAGACAGCCAGGAUGUUGGCUUAGAAGCAGCCAUCAUUUAAAGAAAGCGUAAUAGCUCACUGGUCGAGUCGGCCUGCGCGGAAGAUGUAACGGGGCUAAACCAUGCACCGAAGCUGCGGCAGCGACACUAUGUGUUGUUGGGUAGGGGAGCGUUCUGUAAGCCUGCGAAGGUGACCUGUGAGGGUUGCUGGAGGUAUCAGAAGUGCGAAUGCUGACAUAAGUAACGAUAAAGCGGGUGAAAAGCCCGCUCGCCGGAAGACCAAGGGUUCCUGUCCAACGUUAAUCGGGGCAGGGUGAGUCGACCCCUAAGGCGAGGCCGAAAGGCGUAGUCGAUGGGAAACAGGUUAAUAUUCCUGUACUUGGUGUUACUGCGAAGGGGGGACGGAGAAGGCUAUGUUAGCCGGGCGACGGUUGUCCCGGUUUAAGCAUGUAGGCUGAUUGUCCAGGCAAAUCCGGAUAAUCAAGGCUGAGGUGUGAUGACGAGGCACUACGGUGCUGAAGUAACAAAUGCCCUGCUUCCAGGAAAAGCCUCUAAGCAUCAGGUAACAUCAAAUCGUACCCCAAACCGACACAGGUGGUCAGGUAGAGAAUACCAAGGCGCUUGAGAGAACUCGGGUGAAGGAACUAGGCAAAAUGGUGCCGUAACUUCGGGAGAAGGCACGCUGGUGUGUAGGUGAAGUCCCUGCGGAUGGAGCUGAGACCAGUCGAAGAUACCAGCUGGCUGCAACUGUUUAUUAAAAACACAGCACUGUGCAAACACGAAAGUGGACGUAUACGGUGUGACGCCUGCCCGGUGCCGGAAGGUUAAUUGAUGGGGUUAUCCGUAAGGAGAAGCUCUUGAUCGAAGCCCCGGUAAACGGCGGCCGUAACUAUAACGGUCCUAAGGUAGCGAAAUUCCUUGUCGGGUAAGUUCCGACCUGCACGAAUGGCGUAAUGAUGGCCAGGCUGUCUCCACCCGAGACUCAGUGAAAUUGAACUCGCUGUGAAGAUGCAGUGUACCCGCGGCAAGACGGAAAGACCCCGUGAACCUUUACUAUAGCUUGACACUGAACAUUGAGCCUUGAUGUGUAGGAUAGGUGGGAGGCUUUGAAGCGUGGACGCCAGUCUGCGUGGAGCCAACCUUGAAAUACCACCCUUUAAUGUUUGAUGUUCUAACGUUGGCCCCUGACCGGGGUUGCGGACAGUGUCUGGUGGGUAGUUUGACUGGGGCGGUCUCCUCCCAAAGCGUAACGGAGGAGCACGAAGGUUAGCUAAUCCUGGUCGGACAUCAGGAGGUUAGUGCAAUGGCAUAAGCUAGCUUGACUGCGAGCGUGACGGCGCGAGCAGGUGCGAAAGCAGGUCAUAGUGAUCCGGUGGUUCUGAAUGGAAGGGCCAUCGCUCAACGGAUAAAAGGUACUCCGGGGAUAACAGGCUGAUACCGCCCAAGAGUUCAUAUCGACGGCGGUGUUUGGCACCUCGAUGUCGGCUCAUCACAUCCUGGGGCUGAAGUAGGUCCCAAGGGUAUGGCUGUUCGCCAUUUAAAGUGGUACGCGAGCUGGGUUUAGAACGUCGUGAGACAGUUCGGUCCCUAUCUGCCGUGGGCGCUGGAGAAUUGAGGGGGGCUGCUCCUAGUACGAGAGGACCGGAGUGGACGCAUCACUGGUGUUCGGGUUGUCAUGCCAAUGGCACUGCCCGGUAGCUAAAUGCGGAAGAGAUAAGUGCUGAAAGCAUCUAAGCACGAAACUUGCCCCGAGAUGAGUUCUCCCUGAGACUUUAAGUCUCCUGAAGGAACGUUAAAGACGAUGACGUUGAUAGGCCGGGUGUGUAAGCGCAGCGAUGCGUUGAGCUAACCGGUACUAAUGAACCGUGAGGCUUAACCUU